This 429-nucleotide ribosomal RNA is filed under the name Bacteroidota bacterium. RNAcentral's name for it is "Bacteroidetes bacterium partial 16S ribosomal RNA". It matches the Rfam family "Bacterial small subunit ribosomal RNA", at positions 355 to 776 of the family's 1533-position model. The record is from RNAcentral. Lineage: Bacteria; Pseudomonadati; Bacteroidota.
UAGGGAAUCUUCGGCAAUGGGGGGAACCCUGACCGAGCAACGCCGCGUGAGUGAAGAAGGUUUUCGGAUCGUAAAGCUCUGUUGUUAAGGAAGAACGAGUGUGAGAAUGGAAAGUUCAUGCUGUGACGGUACUUAACCAGAAAGGGACGGCUAACUACGUGCCAGCAGCCGCGGUAAUACGUAGGUCCCGAGCGUUGUUCGGAUUUCUUGGGCAUAAAGCGGGCGCAGGCGGUUAGAAAAGUCUGAAGUGAAAGGCAGUGGCUCAACCACUGUAGGCAUUGGAAACUGUUUAACUUGAAUGCAGAAGGGGAGAGUGAAAUUCCAUGUGUAGCGGUGAAAUGCGUAGCUAUAUGGAGGAACAACGGUGGCGAAAGCGGCUAUCUGGUCUGUAUCUGACGCUGAGGCUCGAAAGAGUGGGGAGCGAACAGG